RNAcentral lists this non-coding RNA (107 nucleotides) under Lysinibacillus xylanilyticus. Its description in RNAcentral is "SAM-I sequence". It matches the Rfam family "SAM riboswitch aptamer (S box leader)". From Rfam's summary of the family: The SAM riboswitch is found upstream of a number of genes which code for proteins involved in methionine or cysteine biosynthesis in Gram-positive bacteria. Lineage: Bacteria; Bacillati; Bacillota; Bacilli; Caryophanales; Bacillaceae. The record is from RNAcentral.
UUCUUAUCAAGAGAGAUGGAGGGACUGGCCCAAUGAUAUCUCGGCAGCGGAACUUAUGAUUAAGUUACUGUGCCAAAUCCAGCAGGCAAAGGCUUGAUAGAUAAGAG